Molecule: ribosomal RNA, 497 nt
Filed under: uncultured bacterium
Lineage: Bacteria
Description: partial 16S ribosomal RNA
Rfam family: Bacterial small subunit ribosomal RNA
Source: RNAcentral
GAUGAACGCUGGCGGCGUGCCUAAUACAUGCAAGUCGAGCGAACGGACGAUAAGCUUGCUUCUCUGAUGUUAGCGGCGGACGGGUGAGUAACACGUGGAUAACCUACCUAUAAGACUGGGAUAACUUCGGGAAACCGCAGCUAAUACCGGAUGAUAUUUUGUACCGCAUGGUUCAAAAGUGAAAGACGGUCUUGCUGUCACUUAUAGAUGGAUCCGCGCUGCAUUAGCUAGUUGGUAAGGUAACGGCUUACCAAGGCAACGAUGCAUAGCCGACCUGAGAGGAUGAUCAGCCACACUGGAACUGAGACACGGUCCAGACUCCUACGGGAGGCAGCAGUAGGGAAUCUUCCGCAAUGGGCGAAAGCCUGACGGAGCAACGCCGCGUGAGUGAUGAAGGUCUUCGGAUCGUAAAACUCUGUUAUUAGGGAAGAACAUAUGUGUAAGUAACUGUGCACAUCUUGACGGUACCUAAUCAGAAAGCCACGGCUAACUACGUG